RNAcentral lists this ribosomal RNA (2553 nucleotides) under Citrobacter sp. Cpo085. Its description in RNAcentral is "partial 23S ribosomal RNA". It matches the Rfam family "Bacterial large subunit ribosomal RNA", at positions 396 to 2925 of the family's 2925-position model. Lineage: Bacteria; Pseudomonadati; Pseudomonadota; Gammaproteobacteria; Enterobacterales; Enterobacteriaceae. The record is from RNAcentral.
GUUGUGAACUCGAAGAGUAGGGCGGGACACGUGGUAUCCUGUCUGAAUAUGGGGGGACCAUCCUCCAAGGCUAAAUACUCCUGACUGACCGAUAGUGAACCAGUACCGUGAGGGAAAGGCGAAAAGAACCCCGGCGAGGGGAGUGAAAAAGAACCUGAAACCGUGUACGUACAAGCAGUGGGAGCACCCUUUGGGGUGUGACUGCGUACCUUUUGUAUAAUGGGUCAGCGACUUAUAUUCUGUAGCAAGGUUAACCGAAUAGGGGAGCCGAAGGGAAACCGAGUCUUAACUGGGCGUUAAGUUGCAGGGUAUAGACCCGAAACCCGGUGAUCUAGCCAUGGGCAGGUUGAAGGUUGGGUAACACUAACUGGAGGACCGAACCGACUAAUGUUGAAAAAUUAGCGGAUGACUUGUGGCUGGGGGUGAAAGGCCAAUCAAACCGGGAGAUAGCUGGUUCUCCCCGAAAGCUAUUUAGGUAGCGCCUCGUGAAUUCAUCUUCGGGGGUAGAGCACUGUUUCGGCUAGGGGGUCAUCCCGACUUACCAACCCGAUGCAAACUGCGAAUACCGAAGAAUGUUAUCACGGGAGACACACGGCGGGUGCUAACGUCCGUCGUGAAGAGGGAAACAACCCAGACCGCCAGCUAAGGUCCCAAAGUCAUGGUUAAGUGGGAAACGAUGUGGGAAGGCACAGACAGCCAGGAUGUUGGCUUAGAAGCAGCCAUCAUUUAAAGAAAGCGUAAUAGCUCACUGGUCGAGUCGGCCUGCGCGGAAGAUGUAACGGGGCUAAACCAUGCACCGAAGCUGCGGCAGCGACACUAUGUGUUGUUGGGUAGGGGAGCGUUCUGUAAGCCGUUGAAGGUGUGUCGUGAGGCAUGCUGGAGGUAUCAGAAGUGCGAAUGCUGACAUAAGUAACGAUAAUGCGGGUGAAAAACCCGCACGCCGGAAGACCAAGGGUUCCUGUCCAACGUUAAUCGGGGCAGGGUGAGUCGACCCCUAAGGCGAGGCCGAAAGGCGUAGUCGAUGGGAAACAGGUUAAUAUUCCUGUACUUGGUGUUACUGCGAAGGGGGGACGGAGAAGGCUAUGUUAGCCGGGCGACGGUUGUCCCGGUUUAAGCAUGUAGGCGGAGGUUCCAGGUAAAUCCGGUACCUUAUUAACGCUGAGGUGUGAUGACGAGGCACUACGGUGCUGAAGUAACAAAUGCCCUGCUUCCAGGAAAAGCCUCUAAGCAUCAGGUAACACGAAAUCGUACCCCAAACCGACACAGGUGGUCAGGUAGAGAAUACCAAGGCGCUUGAGAGAACUCGGGUGAAGGAACUAGGCAAAAUGGUGCCGUAACUUCGGGAGAAGGCACGCUGAUAUGUAGGUGAAGUGAUUUACUCAUGGAGCUGAAAUCAGUCGAAGAUACCAGCUGGCUGCAACUGUUUAUUAAAAACACAGCACUGUGCAAACACGAAAGUGGACGUAUACGGUGUGACGCCUGCCCGGUGCCGGAAGGUUAAUUGAUGGGGUUAUCCGUAAGGAGAAGCUCUUGAUCGAAGCCCCGGUAAACGGCGGCCGUAACUAUAACGGUCCUAAGGUAGCGAAAUUCCUUGUCGGGUAAGUUCCGACCUGCACGAAUGGCGUAAUGAUGGCCAGGCUGUCUCCACCCGAGACUCAGUGAAAUUGAACUCGCUGUGAAGAUGCAGUGUACCCGCGGCAAGACGGAAAGACCCCGUGAACCUUUACUAUAGCUUGACACUGAACACUGGUCCUUGAUGUGUAGGAUAGGUGGGAGGCUUUGAAGUGUGGACGCCAGUCUGCAUGGAGCCAUCCUUGAAAUACCACCCUUUAAUGGCUGGUGUUCUAACGUAGACCCGUAAUCCGGGUUGCGGACAGUGUCUGGUGGGUAGUUUGACUGGGGCGGUCUCCUCCUAAAGAGUAACGGAGGAGCACGAAGGUUAGCUAAUCCUGGUCGGACAUCAGGAGGUUAGUGCAAAGGCAUAAGCUAGCUUGACUGCGAGAGUGACGGCUCGAGCAGGUGCGAAAGCAGGUCUUAGUGAUCCGGUGGUUCUGAAUGGAAGGGCCAUCGCUCAACGGAUAAAAGGUACUCCGGGGAUAACAGGCUGAUACCGCCCAAGAGUUCAUAUCGACGGCGGUGUUUGGCACCUCGAUGUCGGCUCAUCACAUCCUGGGGCUGAAGUAGGUCCCAAGGGUAUGGCUGUUCGCCAUUUAAAGUGGUACGCGAGCUGGGUUUAGAACGUCGUGAGACAGUUCGGUCCCUAUCUGCCGUGGGCGCUGGAGAAUUGAGGGGGGCUGCUCCUAGUACGAGAGGACCGGAGUGGACGCAUCACUGGUGUUCGGGUUGUCAUGCCAAUGGCAUUGCCCGGUAGCUAAAUGCGGAAGAGAUAAGUGCUGAAAGCAUCUAAGCACGAAACUUGCCCCGAGAUGAGUUCUCCCUGACCCUUUAAGGGUCCUGAAGGAACGUUGAAGACGACGACGUUGAUAGGUCGGGUGUGUAAGUGUAGCGAUACAUUGAGCUAACCGAUACUAAUGAACCGUGAGGCUUAACCUU